UGGGGGUUAUAUAUUGGUACUCUGAUUGAGUUCAUUAUUUUCGUUCUAGCCCUACCAUAGGAUAAGUGCAGUCAGCUUAAGGCUACUGAGUUAUAUGUGCUUGGUUUGAAUCAGAUUUAUGAUUAUGUAUAUAUAUAAAUAUUUAAAAAUAUUUAAUUUAUUUAAGUAAGCUUGAAAUAUAUUUUUAUAUUUAUUCAUGG
Molecule: long non-coding RNA, 200 nt
Filed under: Elaeis guineensis (African oil palm)
Lineage: Eukaryota; Viridiplantae; Streptophyta; Magnoliopsida; Arecales; Arecaceae
Description: long non-coding RNA (EGUI_LNC036965)
Source: RNAcentral